RNAcentral lists this ribosomal RNA (301 nucleotides) under uncultured bacterium. RNAcentral's name for it is "partial 16S ribosomal RNA". It matches the Rfam family "Bacterial small subunit ribosomal RNA", at positions 509 to 808 of the family's 1533-position model. The record is from RNAcentral.
CAGUCGCCGCGGUAAUACGUAGGGGGCGAGCGUUGUCCGAAGUUACUGGGCGUAAAGAGCGCGUAGGCGGGUCUUUAAGUGAGGGGUGAAAGGUUCAGGGCUCAACCCGGACACUGCCUUUCAUACUGGAGACCUUGAGUGUGGGAGAGGCGAGUGGAAUGGUCGGUGUAGCGGUGAAGUGCGUAGAUAUCGAUCGGAACACCCAUGGCGAAGGCAGCUCGCUGGCCUAUAACUGACGCUGAGGCGCGAAAGCGUGGGGAGCAAACAGGAAUAGAUACCCCAGUAGUCCCUGUCUCUUAUA